UACGGAGGGUGCAAGCGUUAAUCGGAAUUACUGGGCGUAAAGCGCGCGUAGGUGGUUUGAUAAGCGAGAUGUGAAAGCCCCCGCGCUCAACGUGGGAACUGCCUUUAGAACUGUCAGGCUAGAGUAUGGUAGAGGAGUGUGGAAUUUCCUGUGUAGCGGUGAAAUGCGUAGAUAUAGGAAGGAACACCAGUGGCGAAGGCGGCACUCUGGACCAAUACUGACACUGAGGUGCGAAAGCGUGGGGAGCAAACAGGAUUAGAUACCCGGGUAGUCC
This 274-nucleotide ribosomal RNA is filed under the name uncultured bacterium. RNAcentral's name for it is "partial 16S ribosomal RNA". It matches the Rfam family "Bacterial small subunit ribosomal RNA", at positions 524 to 796 of the family's 1533-position model. The record is from RNAcentral.